This 396-nucleotide ribosomal RNA is filed under the name Morchella sp. Its description in RNAcentral is "partial large subunit ribosomal RNA". It matches the Rfam family "Eukaryotic large subunit ribosomal RNA", at positions 239 to 648 of the family's 3401-position model. Lineage: Eukaryota; Fungi; Ascomycota; Pezizomycetes; Pezizales; Morchellaceae. The record is from RNAcentral.
CGUCCAUGUGAGGUGUCUUCGACGAGUCGAGUUGUUUGGGAAUGCAGCUCAAAAUGGGUGGUAAAUUUCAUCUAAAGCUAAAUAUUGGUGGGAGACCGAUAGCGCACAAGUAGAGUGAUCGAAAGAUGAAAAGCACUUUGAAAAUAGAGUUAAAAAGUACGUGAAAUUGUUGAAAGGGAAGCGCUUGAGACCAGACUUCGGUAAGGGGUGAUCAGCCGUCCUUCUGGGCGGUGCACUUGCCCCCCUCCGGGCCAGCAUCGGUUGAGGCGGCGGGAUAAAGGUCCCGGGAAUGUGGCUCCUUCACGGGAGUGUUAUAGCCCGGGUGAAUGCCGCCAGCUUCGACCGAGGACCGCACCCGCAAGGGUUAGGAUGCUUGGCAUAAUGGUCUUCAGCGAC